Molecule: long non-coding RNA, 1004 nt
Organism: Spea bombifrons (plains spadefoot toad)
Lineage: Eukaryota; Metazoa; Chordata; Amphibia; Anura; Pelobatidae
Exons: 2
Source: RefSeq, a predicted model, not a curated record
CCUAGAUCUUAUAAAAUCACAUGGAAGAAAUGACGGCUGAGGUCUGGAAAGCUUUUCUGACUCUACAGAUUAGUUUUUGAAUGUCGGUCAAAUGUAUUUAGUAUAUAUAGUGUGCAUAGUGGUGUAUUCUGGCCUAGGCUGACGAAGGCCAACGCGGCAGGGAGCCAUGGGCCAGUUGAGGAGAUCACUGAUCUCCUCAACUGGCCCAUUAACACCAUGGAGGACUUUACUGCGUUAACUCAGUCCUUCAUAGUUUACUUCAGCUCGUUGCGUCACGACUGAAAAACGUGGAGCGCCAUCAUAUGAUGUCAUAUCCCGCUGCUCACCAGUAAGGACAGCAGCCAGGAGGAGACAGCUGAUGGACCUGCCCUGGAUCAGGCCUAGGGUAGCGCCAAAGUUUAAUACGGCACUGUAUGUAUUUAUAGAACAUUAACUAUACAACAUUUUUAUUUAUAAUCACAAUAAUAUUUUUUGAGCCUGGGAUCACAAAGUGCGGUAAAAUAUAUUUUAAAAUCUAGAGAAGUAUUUUCUUUCCACCAUAAGAAUGUUGAGGAUAUCGAGGAUGUCAGAAAAAAGAAGUGUAUAAAACAAGGUCAGCUCGAAAACAUACAUGCAUGUGUACUAUUUUUUUUCUUAGCCUUAAGCUGAUUUAGCAAUUGUUCUCUUAAAAAAAAAAAAAAAAGAUUUAGUAAGUUGAUAAAAUCAGAACGACUCCUUUUUUCCUGAAACGACCACACAUUUUUCCGCCAACUUUUUUUAAAAGAAUAGAUGAUUCGUUUUCUUCAUCUACGGCCUUAGGGGUUUUUAAUAAUCAUUUUCUGUUAAACCAAAUCUUUCAAAAGAAAGAGUAUCCCGGACGGCACAACGUUCUAGAUUUUUAUAACGUUAUUUUUAUAUAGCCAAUUUGUCUGUUGACAUUCCUGGGUUCUAAGUUCCAAGCGAGGUAAGGUCUAGUCCAGCGAGACAUUGCCGUGUGCAAUCUCGAAGGCUAAAAGCAUUCUUAA